AAUGAAUUGCCUGAUUAAAGGAUUACUUUGAUAGAGUAAAUUAUGUAAAAUAUUGCAUUCAUUA
RNAcentral lists this transfer RNA (64 nucleotides) under Melophagus ovinus. RNAcentral describes it as "tRNA-Ile". Lineage: Eukaryota; Metazoa; Arthropoda; Insecta; Diptera; Hippoboscidae. The record is from RNAcentral.